CAUGCAAGUCGAGCGGUAGCACAGAGAGCUUGCUCUCGGGUGACGAGCGGCGGACGGGUGAGUAAUGUCUGGGAAACUGCCUGAUGGAGGGGGAUAACUACUGGAAACGGUAGCUAAUACCGCAUAACGUCGCAAGACCAAAGUGGGGGACCUUCGGGCCUCAUGCCAUCAGAUGUGCCCAGAUGGGAUUAGCUAGUAGGUGGGGUAACGGCUCACCUAGGCGACGAUCCCUAGCUGGUCUGAGAGGAUGACCAGCCACACUGGAACUGAGACACGGUCCAGACUCCUACGGGAGGCAGCAGUGGGGAAUAUUGCACAAUGGGCGCAAGCCUGAUGCAGCCAUGCCGCGUGUGUGAAGAAGGCCUUCGGGUUGUAAAGCACUUUCAGCGGGGAGGAAGGCGAUAAGGUUAAUAACCUUGUCGAUUGACGUUACCCGCAGAAGAAGCACCGGCUAACUCCGUGCCAGCAGCCGCGGUAAUACGGAGGGUGCAAGCGUUAAUCGGAAUUACUGGGCGUAAAGCGCACGCAGGCGGUCUGUCAAGUCGGAUGUGAAAUCCCCGGGCUCAACCUGGGAACUGCAUUCGAAACUGGCAGGCUAGAGUCUUGUAGAGGGGGGUAGAAUUCCAGGUGUAGCGGUGAAAUGCGUAGAGAUCUGGAGGAAUACCGGUGGCGAAGGCGGCCCCCUGGACAAAGACUGACG
This 700-nucleotide ribosomal RNA is filed under the name Klebsiella sp. RNAcentral describes it as "bacterial SSU rRNA". It matches the Rfam family "Bacterial small subunit ribosomal RNA", at positions 54 to 745 of the family's 1533-position model. The record is from RNAcentral. Lineage: Bacteria; Pseudomonadati; Pseudomonadota; Gammaproteobacteria; Enterobacterales; Enterobacteriaceae.